UACGUAGGGAGCGAGCGUUGUCCGGAUUUACUGGGUGUAAAGGGUGCGUAGGCGGCUAUGCAAGUCAGUAGUGGAAUCCAUGGGCUUAACCCAUGAACUGCUAUUGAAACUGCACAGCUUGAGUGAAGUAGAGGUAGGCGGAAUUCCCGGUGUAGCGGUGAAAUGCGUAGAGAUCGGGAGGAACACCAGUGGCGAAGGCGGCCUACUGGGCUUUAACUGACGCUGAGGCACGAAAGCGUGGGUAGCAAACAGG
This 253-nucleotide ribosomal RNA is filed under the name uncultured bacterium. Its description in RNAcentral is "partial 16S ribosomal RNA". It matches the Rfam family "Bacterial small subunit ribosomal RNA", at positions 524 to 776 of the family's 1533-position model. The record is from RNAcentral.